Molecule: non-coding RNA, 30 nt
Filed under: Mus musculus (house mouse)
Lineage: Eukaryota; Metazoa; Chordata; Mammalia; Rodentia; Muridae
Source: RNAcentral
UACACAUCCCUCUGAAAGUGAGUCUUAUCC